This 801-nucleotide long non-coding RNA is filed under the name Salmo salar (Atlantic salmon). RNAcentral's name for it is "lncRNA (ENSSSAG00000093311.1)". The record is from RNAcentral. Lineage: Eukaryota; Metazoa; Chordata; Actinopteri; Salmoniformes; Salmonidae.
UAACAGUGCUGGUAUGUUUGUGGUCUGAUGUCUGAGCUCACCUUGUACAGUAAGGUUUAGUCUGUAGCUAAGCUAAUAGGUUUAUCUAUGAGGCUGGACCUCUGGGCACCACCACCACCUCUAAUCCCCUUAAAGGGCUCUGCUGGAACAAGGCUUACACAGGUUAAGCACAUCAACCAGGGACGCUGCCAGCAUACAGCACAGCACAUAAGCUAUCUGGACUGUAGGACAAGACAGCAGCAGCUCAACACAAUACCAUACAGCCGCAGGGACUGGGAGACUCGUCAGGAUCGAGGGAAAGAUGAACAGAGCAAAGUACAGAGAGAUCCUUGAUGAAAACCUGCUCCAGAGGACCUCAGACUGGGGCGAAGAAAACGACCCUAAGCACACAGCCAAGACAACACAGGAGUGGCUUGGGGACAAGUCUCUGAAUGUCCCCAAAAAAAAUACAAAUAAUUGUUUUUGCUUUUGUCACUAUGGGUUAUUGUGUGCAGAUUGAUGAAGAAAAAAAAUGUAAUCCAUGUUUAGAAUAAGGCUGUAACGUAACAAAAUGUGGAAAAAGUCAAGGGGUCUGAGUACUUUCCGAAUGCACUGUAGACAUUCUAAAUGUAAUUCCCAGCCGGUACAGAUACUGUGCCUAUCUGCAUUUUGUCUCGUGGUAAUGGGGCUACCUUGGAAAACAUGCCAGAUGGUCAUACCUUCCUGUGUGGUGUCCCGUAUACAACAGGAUUUCCCUGGUCCUUGUGCAGAAUACACAGGAUUACUUCUUUCCAAUAUUGUCUGAUACCAUUCAAUUCAAUA